RNAcentral lists this ribosomal RNA (457 nucleotides) under uncultured bacterium. RNAcentral's name for it is "bacterial SSU rRNA". It matches the Rfam family "Bacterial small subunit ribosomal RNA", at positions 35 to 473 of the family's 1533-position model. The record is from RNAcentral.
GCUGGCGGCGUGCUUAACACAUGCAAGUCAAGGAGAACGGGAAUCUUCGGAGUCCUUAGUAAACUGGCGAACGGGUGAGUAACACGUAGGUAACCUGCCUGCGGGUCCGGGAUAACCUUGCUAACGCGGGGCUAAUACUGGAUAACGUUCUUUUGUUACAUGACAUGAGAACCAAAGCUGCCUUCGGGUAGCACCUGUGGAUGGACCUGCGCCCCAUUAGCUUGUUGGUAGGGUAAUGGCCUACCAAGGCAACGAUGGGUAGCCGGCCUGAGAGGGUGACCGGCCACACUGGGACUGAGAUACGGCCCAGACUCCUACGGGAGGCAGCAGUGAGGAAUAUUGCGCAAUGGGCGAAAGCCUGACGCAGCAACGCCGCGUGGAUGAUGAAGCUCUAAGGAGUGNNAAGUCCUGUUAGGAGGGAAGAACAAUCGCCAUUCGAAUAGGAUGGUGGUUUGAC